UGAAAAACUGAACAGCAGAAACCAGCGUGCCAGAGGCUAAGGAUGGAGGGAAUGAAGCAUGGACUGUGUGACUCUACCAGGAGCGACCCCUUGGAAGCUUGUAUUUGAAAAACAAGAAGAUACGUCACUGAAGGAGUACCUCUAAUACCAAGCUGGCUGCGGAGCACACUUGCAUUCUUGCACUUGACACACCAUAUGGUGAGUAUUGAUUUUCUUGUCUAUCUCCUCACUCAGAAUUAAGCCAAUUGAGAGCAGGAAAUCUAUCAUAUUCUUUUUUGUAUUACUAGCACCCAUGCAGAGAUUUGCAAAGCUUAAUAAACAUGUGUUGCUCACAGAGGGUAGAAAAUAGAAGAUGUUUAUUAAGAAAAUAAUUACUACACAUUUGUUGAAUAAAGGGGGCAUGCACUGUGGAGUGUGACCAUUUUUCCUGCAGAUGUUUGUAUGACAUCAGCCUUUCCCAUCUAUAGGAUGCUGCAGCUGGGGUUGGGGAGGGGAAGAUAGCUCCGUUCUGAAGAGAAGAGUUCACUCGAGGGCUAUGAUUUCUGAGACCUGCUCUGUAGCCUUAUUUAUUCUUCCUAUUUAUCCUAAAUAGGAAUCUGGUUGUGUGUAAAACAGAGAAUUGACAUCAACCUGAAGCACAUGGAACAAGAGCAAAGGACUGAAUAAUAUACAAAAAAGACAGGUGUUUCAGCAAAGCAACUGACCAGCAUUCCUUCCUGAUAAGAAACCGCCAUCCAUGGAGUGGUUCUGGCCAGUCUAUGGAGAAUGUAGUGAAGGUUUUCAUGUCUUCUGCUUCACUUUUUGACAUUAGAAGGCCAAAAUCUCCACCUUGGAUUAUGCUAACACCUCCAUUUAUUGAACAAGGGUCAUGUCCCUUGUCCCAUGAACAAGGACAAAAAGCAUGAAGUUCAACUGUGCAUGUGCAUGUUUCUCCUUUCAUAAAUAUUCAUGACUGUUCCCAUAGCUUAUUGAAUAUGUAUAUCUGGCCACCCCAUUCAGCAUAAAUUCCUGCCUUACUCUUCAAGUGUCAUUCCAGGAUUCUGACCGGAGGGAGGCGACACUUCCCAGCCUGUCAGAAUGGCCACCCUGCAGGCUGCAACUCUUUAUGGGAAAUAAAGCUCUCCUUUCCAAAU
RNAcentral lists this long non-coding RNA (1133 nucleotides) under Homo sapiens (human). RNAcentral's name for it is "HSALNT0022506". The record is from RNAcentral. Lineage: Eukaryota; Metazoa; Chordata; Mammalia; Primates; Hominidae.